UACGUAGGGUGCGAGCGUUAAUCGGAAUUACUGGGCGUAAAGCGUGCGCAGGCGGUUCGUUAAGUCAGCUGUGAAAGCCCCGGGCUCAACCUGGGAAUUGCGGUUGAAACUGGCGGACUAGAAUCUGGCAGAGGGGGGUGGAAUUCCACGUGUAGCAGUGAAAUGCGUAGAGAUGUGGAGGAACACCGAUGGCGAAGGCAGCCCCCUGGGCUGAGAUUGACGCUCAGGCA
This 230-nucleotide ribosomal RNA is filed under the name uncultured bacterium. RNAcentral describes it as "partial 16S ribosomal RNA". It matches the Rfam family "Bacterial small subunit ribosomal RNA", at positions 524 to 753 of the family's 1533-position model. The record is from RNAcentral.